This 253-nucleotide ribosomal RNA is filed under the name uncultured bacterium. RNAcentral describes it as "partial 16S ribosomal RNA". It matches the Rfam family "Bacterial small subunit ribosomal RNA", at positions 524 to 776 of the family's 1533-position model. The record is from RNAcentral.
AACGUAGGAGACAAACGUUAUCCGGAGUUACUGGGCGUAAAGGGCGUGUAGGCGGUUUGUUAAGUCUGGCGUGAAAGCUCUCGGCUAAACCGGGAGAGGUCGUUGGAUACUGGCAGACUAGAGGACGGUAGAGGCGUGUGGAAUUCCGGGUGUAGUGGUGAUAUGCGUAGAUAUCGGGAGGAACACCAGUGGCGAAGGCGGCUCUCUGGGCCUUUCCUGACGCUGAGGCGCGAAAGCUAGGGGAGCGAACAGG